Molecule: ribosomal RNA, 436 nt
Filed under: uncultured Clostridiales Family IV bacterium
Lineage: Bacteria; Bacillati; Bacillota; Clostridia; Eubacteriales; Eubacteriales Family IV. Incertae Sedis
Description: bacterial SSU rRNA
Rfam family: Bacterial small subunit ribosomal RNA
Source: RNAcentral
ACGGAAGGCAGCAGUGGGGGAUAUUGCACAAUGGAGGAAACUCUGAUGCAGCAACGCCGCGUGAGGGAAGACGGUCUUCGGAUUGUAAACCUAAGUUAUCAGGGACGAAGAAAUGACGGUACCUGAGGAGAAAGCUCCGGCUAACUACGUGCCAGCAGCCGCGGUAAUACGUAGGGAGCGAGCGUUGUCCGGAUUUACUGGGUGUAAAGGGUGCGUAGGCGGGUUUGCAAGUCAGGCGUGAAAUCCCACGGCUUAACUGUGGGGCUGCGCUUGAAACUGUGAAUCUUGAGUGAAGUAGAGGCAAGCGGAAUUCCUAGUGUAGCGGUGAAAUGCGUAGAUAUUAGGAGGAACACCAGUGGCGAAGGCGGCUUGCUGGGCUUUAACUGACGCUGAGGCACGAAAGCAUGGGGAGCAAACAGGAUUAGAUACCCUGGUA